UUGACCUCAAAUCGGGUGAGACUACCCGCUGAACUUAAGCAUAUNNNNNNNNNNNNNNNNNNNNNNNNNNNAGGAUUCCCCUAGUAACUGCGAGUGAAGCGGGAAAAGCUCAAAUUUAAAAUCUGGCGGUCUUUGGCCGUCCGAGUUGUAAUUUAGAGAAGCGUCUUCCGCGCCGGACCGUGCACAAGUCUCCUGGAAUGGAGCGUCAUAGAGGGUGAGAAUCCCGUCUUUGGCACGGAUGCCCGGUGCUUCUGUGAUGCGCUCUCGAAGAGUCGAGUUGUUUGGGAAUGCAGCUCAAAAUGGGUGGUGAACUCCAUCUAAAGCUAAAUAUUGGCGAGAGACCGAUAGCGAACAAGUACCGUGAGGGAAAGAUGAAAAGCACUUUGGAAAGAGAGUGAAACAGUACGUGAAAUUGUUGAAAGGGAAACGCUUGAAGUCAGUCGCGUCGACCGAGACUCAGCCUUGCCUUGGCUUGGUGUACUUCUCGGCCCGACGGGUCAGCGUCAAUUUUGCCCCUCGGAUAAUGGCAAGGGAAAGGUGGCACCUUUACGGGUGUGUUAUAGUCUCCUGUCGCAUGCGAGGGGUGGGAUUGAGGAACUCAGCGCGCACCUUGGUGUCGGGGCUUCUGCCCACGUCACGCGCUUAGGAUGCUGGCAUAAUGGCUUUAAACGACCCGUCUUGAAACACGGACCAAGGAGUCCAACACGCCCGCGAGUGUUCGGGUGGAAAACCCGUGCGCGUAAUUAAAGUGAAAGUUGGGACCUCUGUCGUGGAGGGCACCGACGCCCGGACCAGACCUUCUGUGACGGAUCUGCGGUAGAGCGUGUGUGUUGGGACCCGAAAGAUGGUGAACUAUGCCUGAAUAGGGUGAAGCCAGAGGAAACUCUGGUGGAGGCUCGUAGCGAUUCUGACGUGCAAAUCGAUCGUCAAAUUUGGGUAUAGGGGCGAAAGACUAAUCGAA
This 961-nucleotide ribosomal RNA is filed under the name Lactarius necator. RNAcentral's name for it is "partial 28S ribosomal RNA". It matches the Rfam family "Eukaryotic large subunit ribosomal RNA", at positions 1 to 939 of the family's 3401-position model. Lineage: Eukaryota; Fungi; Basidiomycota; Agaricomycetes; Russulales; Russulaceae. The record is from RNAcentral.